RNAcentral lists this ribosomal RNA (460 nucleotides) under uncultured bacterium. RNAcentral describes it as "partial 16S ribosomal RNA". It matches the Rfam family "Bacterial small subunit ribosomal RNA", at positions 338 to 795 of the family's 1533-position model. The record is from RNAcentral.
CCUACGGGUGGCAGCAGUGAGGAAUAUUGGUCAAUGGACGAGAGUCUGAACCAGCCAAGUAGCGUGAAGGAUGACUGCCCUAUGGGUUGUAAACUUCUUUUAUAUGGGAAUAAAACGUUCCACGUGUGGGAUUUUGUAUGUACCAUAUGAAUAAGGAUCGGCUAACUCCGUGCCAGCAGCCGGGGUAAUACGGAGGAUCCGGGCGUUAUCCGGAUUUAUUGGGUUUAAAGGGAGCGUAGGUGGAUUGGUAAGUCAGUUGUGAAAGUUUGCGGCUCAACCGUAAAAUUGCAGUUGAAACUGACAGGCUAGAGUACAGUAGAGGUGGGCGGAAUUCGUGGUGUAGCGGUGAAAUGCUUAGAUAUCACGAAGAACUCCGAUUGCGAAGGCAGCUUACUAAACUGCAACUGACAUUGAUGCUCGAAAGUGUGGGUAUCAAACAGGAUUAGAUACCCUAGUAGUC